Molecule: ribosomal RNA, 664 nt
Filed under: Salmonella enterica
Lineage: Bacteria; Pseudomonadati; Pseudomonadota; Gammaproteobacteria; Enterobacterales; Enterobacteriaceae
Description: partial 23S ribosomal RNA
Rfam family: Bacterial large subunit ribosomal RNA
Source: RNAcentral
GGGUUGUGAGGUUAAGCGACUAAGCGUACACGGUGGAUGCCCUGGCAGUCAGAGGCGAUGAAGGGCGUGCUAAUCUGCGAUAAGCGCCGGUAAGGUGAUAUGAACCGUUAUAACCGGCGAUACCCGAAUGGGGAAACCCAGUGUGAUUCGUCACACUAUCAUUAACUGAAUCCAUAGGUUAAUGAGGCGAACCGGGGGAACUGAAACAUCUAAGUACCCCGAGGAAAAGAAAUCAACCGAGAUUCCCCCAGUAGCGGCGAGCGAACGGGGAGGAGCCCAGAGCCUGAAUCAGCAUGUGUGUUAGUGGAAGCGUCUGGAAAGGCGCGCGAUACAGGGUGACAGCCCCGUACACAAAAGCGCAUGUGCUGUGAGCUCGAUGAGUAGGGCGGGACACGUGGUAUCCUGUCUGAAUAUGGGGGGACCAUCCUCCAAGGCUAAAUACUCCUGACUGACCGAUAGUGAACCAGUACCGUGAGGGAAAGGCGAAAAGAACCCCGGCGAGGGGAGUGAAAAAGAACCUGAAACCGUGUACGUACAAGCAGUGGGAGCCCCACCACUAAGCCAGUGGUGAACUCCACAUACGCAUCCUUUGCUGAGGAUACGGUUAACGGAGCGAAAGCGACGUUCAACCUCAAAAGAAGCAGAGGGGGCUUAGUGGUGGGGU